CCGAGUUAUCCAACUCCCAACCCCUGUGAAUUAUACCUUUAAUUGUUGCUUCGGCGGGGACUUCGCGCCCGCCGGGGACCCAAACCUUCUGAAUUUUUUAAUAAGUAUCUUCUGAGUGGUUAAAAAAAUGAAUCAU
Molecule: unclassified non-coding RNA, 136 nt
Filed under: soil metagenome
Description: partial internal transcribed spacer 1
Source: RNAcentral